RNAcentral lists this transfer RNA (68 nucleotides) under Lottia goshimai. RNAcentral's name for it is "tRNA-Asn". Lineage: Eukaryota; Metazoa; Mollusca; Gastropoda; Lottiidae. The record is from RNAcentral.
UGGAAAAAAGCCAAAAAAGAGGCAUUCGUUUGUUAAACGGACCAAUGGGCACGUUCGCCCUUUUCCAG